Notolabrus celidotus (New Zealand spotty) is the source of this 2952-nucleotide RNA transcript. It is a transcript of the gene named dihydropyrimidinase-related protein 5-like, with no coding region annotated. Lineage: Eukaryota; Metazoa; Chordata; Actinopteri; Labriformes; Labridae. The record is from RefSeq and is a predicted model, not a curated record. The transcript has 15 exons.
CCGUCUUCUCCGUCAGUCGACUCCUUAUUGGCUGCAGCACUGAAGCAUCUGCGGCUCGCGCUGUGCCAGCUGUCCUCGCGCACUCGGCUGGUGCUGGGCAACGGAGAGAGGCUCCUGCUGAGGAGGAUCUGGGAACCUGGAAAUAAAGGGACAAUGUCUACCAACAUGGGGUCGAUGCGUAUCCUCAUCAAGGGGGGGAAGGUGGUCAAUGAUGACUUCACUCAGGAGGCAGACGUCUACAUCGAGAACGGCAUCAUCCAGCAGGUUGGAAAGGAGCUGAUGAUCCCAGGUGGAGCUAAGGUGAUAGACGCCUCUGGAAAGCUGGUGUUGCCGGGCGGAAUAGACACCUGCGUACAUCUGGAGCAGACUUUUAUGAAUGCCAGCAUCCAGGAUGACUACUACAGUGGGACCAAGGCUGCUCUGAUGGGUGGUACCACCAUGGUGAUGGGUCUGGUCCUGCCUGAGCAACACUGCUCCCUGCUGGAUGCCUACGAGAAGUGCAGAGCUCUGGCUGAUGCCAAGGCGUGCUGCGACUACGCUCUACAUGUCGGGGUGACCUGGUGGGGACCAAAGGUGCGUAACGAGAUGGAGACCCUGGUGAGGGAGCAUGGAGUGAACUCGUUCCAGAUGUACAUGGCCUAUAAAGACAUGAUGAUGCUGAGGGACUGUGAGCUCUACCAGACGUUGCAGACCUGUAAGGACAUCGGAGCCAUUGCACGCGUCCAAGCUGAGAACGGAGAGCUGGUGGCAGAGAGUGCCAAGGAGGCUCUGGAUUUGGGCAUCAGUGGACCAGAGGGAAUCGAGAUCAGUCGACCAGAGGAGCUGGAGUCUGAGGCUACUCACAGAGCCGUCACCAUUGCCAACAGGGCUCGCUGUCCCAUCUACCUGGUGAAUGUGUCCAGUAUGUCUGCCGGAGACAUGGUUGCUGCUGCUAAGAUGCAAGGUAAGGUGGUCCAUGCAGAGGCCACAGUGGCUCAUGCUGUGCUGAAUGGGAUGCAGUAUUACCACCAGGACUGGGCUAAUGCUGCUGCACACGUUGUCGUCCCUCCUCUUCGUCUUGACCCCAACACACCCGGAUACCUCAUGGGCCUGUUGGCAAAUGACACUCUGAGUGUUGUGUCAUCAGAGCACCGUCCAUUUAGCAUCAUGCAGAGAGCUUUGGGUAAGGAGGACUUCACCAAGAUCCCUCAUGGACUCCCUGGAAUCCAGGACAGGAUGAGUGUCAUCUGGGAGAGGGGAGUGGUUACAGGAAAAAUGGAUGAGAACCGUUUUGUGGCAGUGACAAGCUCUAACGCUGCAAAGAUCUACAACCUGUACCCACGCAAGGGCCGCAUCAUCCCCGGGGCUGAUGCUGAUGUGGUGGUCUGGGACCCGGACGCAACAAGGACCAUCUCUGUGACCACUCAGGUGCAGGGCGGAGACUUCAACCUGUACGAGGGGCAACGCUGCCACGGUGUUCCCCUGGUGACAAUCAGCCGAGGGCGUCUGGUGUGUGAGAACGGUGCGUUCAUGUGUGCUGAGGGGUCUGGAAAGUUCUACCCACAGCGCACCUUCCCUGACUACCUCUACAAGAAGAUGGUGCAGAGAGAAAAGACUCAGGGUUAUAAAGGAGUAUCCAGGGAUCCAUACUCUGGUGAUGUCGUCAAGGUAGCAUUAACCCUGAAGAAGGAGCUUGGUUUGGGCCCCAUAGAUGGAGAGACACCCAAAGGGCUCAGCGCUGCAAGCCGAGUGCACCAGGGGGUCCGAGACCUCCAUGAGUCCUCCUUUAGCCUCUCAGGAUCUCAAGUUGAUGACCACAUCCCGAAAAGGUCCUCAGCUCGGAUCCUGGCUCCUCCUGGUGGUCGCUCCAGUGGUAUCUGGUAAAUGCCAGUCCUGGAGCCUCAACCGUCCGACCAUCCUUGUUUUGUAAAACUCAGAACAACCAGGAAAACUGCACUGAUUUUCAAUCACAGAAUUAGAUUUUGAACGGAAAAUAAAUUCAAGCACGUUUCUGUGAUUGGUGAAGACCUAAGUGAUGAUCGGUGAUCUGCCAAAGUGACUUUUAAAAGAUCUAAAUUGUCUAUUAAUUGGAGUGACUGAGCUGAUUAAUUACAGGAGAGUGAAGGGCUACCUGUGAAUUUUAAAAAACGUUUACCAAAUUUAAGCUGAUCAUACUAACAUUGACAAAGUCUGCUCAUUAUCACCCUGCUCGUAAAGAAACGAAAACUGUGAAAGAUCAAAACCAGUACAGUUUUUGAUGGUUCAUCUGAAGUGAUGUCGACUGAAUUAUUUAAAAAAAGGUAAAACUGGAUUCAGUGAAAUAUCUAUUAAACCCCUGUCACACACACACAACCAUACAGUACACUUUAGACACCAUAGCUUUAGACUCAUCGAGACGUGCGUGGAUUCUGUGUGUGAUUUAACACCCGCUGUGCUCGGCUUCCUGCCACGCCGUGGGCUCCUCUAACAGUGUUUUUAUUUCCAACGGAUGAACUGUGCUGUGUGGUGAUGAAAUCCAACUGCUUCUAAACACCGUGUGAUCACACUGCUGCACUCUCCAAAUACAGUCAGACUUUUCCAUCCUUAUUUUUUCACUGCCUCUGACUGAACAACACUCAUAUCCCAGAAACCGUAGACCCUGCCAAGUGCUAGAAGAGAAUUGAAGAGUAAAUGUGCCAAUGUGACUCACCUGUGCCACACCCACACCCAUGCAUGAAGAGCACCACACGGAGACAGAGGAGGGAAACGCCACAGGCUCACAACAACUGGUGCUGUUUUUUUACGAUAACCUACAAUGAAGUUCUUUUACUGUUGGAUGGUUCUGUUGUUUUGAAGGCACUGUGACUGGUCAGCGCUGUGUGUGUUUGUAGAUUCUUGUUGUGUUGGACAGUGAACCUGUUGAAUCUGUGAAGUGGCCGCUUGUUUCUUACCACAAGAGUAACAGAAAAAGAAUAAAGUGAGAAAAAAAUAACA